Molecule: ribosomal RNA, 443 nt
Filed under: uncultured bacterium
Lineage: Bacteria
Description: partial 16S ribosomal RNA
Rfam family: Bacterial small subunit ribosomal RNA
Source: RNAcentral
CCUACGGGAGGCUGCAGUGGGGAAUAUUGGGCAAUGGGCGCAAGCCUGACCCAGCAACGCCGCGUGAAGGAAGAAGGCUUUCGGGUUGUAAACUUCUUUUAUCAGGGACGAAACAAGUGACGGUACCUGAUGAAUAAGCCACGGCUAACUACGUGCCAGCAGCAGCGGUAAUACGGAGGUGGCAAGCUUUAUCCGGAUUUACUGGGUGUAAGGGGUGUGUAGGCGGGAGGUCAAGUCAGAUGUGAAAACUAUGGGCUCAACCCAUAGCUUGCAUUUGAAACUGUACUUCUUGAGUGCUGGAGAGGCAAUCGGAAUUCCGGGUGUAGCGGUGAAAUGCGUAGAUAUACGGAGGAACACCAGUGGCGAAGGCGGAUUGCUGGACAGUAACUGACGCUGAGGCGCGAAAGCGUGGGGAGCAAACAGGAUUAGAUACCCGUGUAGUC